RNA transcript from Spinacia oleracea (spinach), 4316 nucleotides. It is a transcript of the gene named RNA pseudouridine synthase 1, with no coding region annotated. The transcript has 7 exons. NCBI's taxonomy places the organism in Eukaryota, Viridiplantae, Streptophyta, Magnoliopsida, Caryophyllales, Amaranthaceae. The record is from RefSeq and is a predicted model, not a curated record.
UUUAUCUAUUCAAAUCCCAAAAUGUAUUUUUCUUUGAUUUUCUUGUUCAAAAUUCCAACUCCUUCAUUAUUCAUAUGAAUCAUAUGUGAAGUUGAUCCUCCCAUAGUCCCAUGGCGUACUCAUUGACUCUCGUCUCUUAGACUUCUUGAGCCAUUUCCCUUUUGAUGUUCUCCGUUGCUCGUUGUUUCACCCACCUUCUACGCUCUGAACUCCUGCACCCCAUCAAACACUCCCUAAUCAAACUCUUCUCACAAUCAACCCCACAAGUUUCAAUGUCGUCCGAAACCCCAGAACAAUUAAAUUCAACUUCAAUGGAAGAAACCCAAUUGGCAAAUGACCCCAAAACCCCAUCAAUCUCCCCUUACCCGACUCCAUUAUCCCCACCAUUGCCCCUAAUUUCCAAAGAAAUCGAGCUUAGCAGAGCCAUGUCCGCUUCUUCUAAGGCCACCACCUUUUCUCUUUCCAGGGAUGACGUUAUCUUUGAGGAUCAAUGGUUGCUUGUUGUCAAUAAACCCUUUGGGAUUUACUGUGAGACUGUCUUGUUUUCUGUCCCUCAUCUUCUCCAACAGUCUCCUGAUUCAGUUGAAGCUUCAGAGUUCCACCUUGCUAACAGGCUGGAUCGUGAUACAAGUGGUGUAAUGGUUAUAACCAAAUUACACAAAGUAGCUGGCAAGCUUGUCAAGGCCUUUACUGAUCACAAGGUCCAAAAAACUUAUAUGGCUCUUUGUGUAGGUUCUGCACCAAAAUGGGACAGGAUCAGGUUGCAAUCUGGCCAUGGUAGGUCUAAAUAUGGUGCUUGGCGUGUAUAUGCUUCAUCAGUUGUUGGACGGAAACUACCUGGUGGAUCUGCGGUGAAGCACAUGGAGACUCUUUUCGAGUUAUUAUCAGUAAAUAGGACUGUCCAUUUUAUAGAGCCAUCUAAAUGUGCAAAAGAUCAAGAAAAAACUGUGGUAGUUGAGGAGAAAUCAUCAACAGAUGCUAACCAAGGAAGGGAUGAGAUAUUGGUCCGAGCUUUUCCAAAGAGUGGAAGGACACAUCAAAUCCGGCUGCACUGUCAGUACCUCGGAAUGCCUAUAAAAGGGGAUGUAAAAUAUGAAGGUGUCUGUGAAUGGAAAGGGGAGAUUUGUGAUGGCCAUACCCUUCAUGCAGAGAGUUUAUCAUUGGAACACCCAGUUACUGGUCUUCCAGUCAAAUUUCAUGCACCAUUGCCUCUCUGGGCAACCCAAGCUAUGCAAUCACGAUGAUUUCACAUAGGGGUGAACCAAGUCACACGCCAAUAUGUUUUUCGAGAACGCCGAGAGAUGGUUUGAUUGGGACAUUUGGAUUGGGAAUGUGCAUUUAAGUUCGGGAAGUGACAGUUCUUAUAAUCUACUUAUCGUGGACUGAAACAGACUUUGUUUCAAUUCCUACAACUUGAGCUGUUGAGAUACCUUUGACUUGGUCUGCUAAUCUUGUUUCUGAGUUCCAAUUGAUUUAACGAGUUGCGGAAUCAUACUGAGUUCUGGUUACUCUAAGAAACUACUCAAUCUCUGUUUGGACAUAGAAAUGAAGCUUCUUUGUGGGAGAACUGGAUGUUAAAGAACUUUUACGCAAACUCCCAGUUCGAGAAUUAGUGCAAGAAACAAAACUGGCAUUUGCAUCUAAUAGUAAACAUCAUGCAAUUAGUCAUAUGUGGAAAUUGGAAUUGCUGCUUGUACAUUCAGCACUUCUUAUUGUGGCAAUCAGUACAAUCACGUUUCCCAUCCUUUUAUGGGUUGCUUGCUUGGGUGGUCUUUGCUGGUAAAAGCUUCCCUAUUUUGAUGGCUUCCCUUCUCAUGGUACAAAAUUCAGGUUCUUGGUUCUUCUGCUUGCAAUGAUGAUUAGAAGAGGAUGGUGAAAAUCCAGUGUGUUGGAAGGUGUUUUCCAUAUAUCAUCCAUCAGCUCUAAUUGGAAGAUGUUGGCACUGUCUGCUGCAGAAAGCGGGUAAUAAAUGGACGGACAAAUCUUCAUAUUUGGACCACCAUUCAACAAAAGAAAUAUCUCCCAUAUUUAUGUCUGUUUUUGGUACUGUCCUUAUGCUUGGUUCUGUGAAGGACUUCAGUCUUGAAAAUCAUCUAUGCACUAAAAUUGAGGGUCAUAUGUGCAAGUCAGACCUUGCCAUAGCUAUUUUCAGUACAAUUGCAUUCACACUUGGGCACUAGGAUUCCCUGGAAUGAAGAUGGCGAUGCAUGCCAAAGUUAGAAGCAAGGAAAGGCAUUUAUAAUGCUUUCAAAUCUGAUGCGGUAAUGGGAUUCCUUCUUGCUGCCAAUGGACUUCUAGUCCUGUAUGUCUCAGUUCAAUCGGUUUGUCGAGGUUUUACUAUGGCAACAAUUGGCAGCGAUACGAAGAGUCUAUUACUGGUUAUGGUCUUGUUGGUUCAUCCAUGGCUUUGCUUGGAAGAGUUGUGCUGACUAUGCUGGUAAAGUUGAAAGAAAUCUCCCCAAGGGUGGUUCUAGAAAUCCAGCUGUAAUAUGUGCGACAAUGUAGAAGAUAUUGCUGGGUUGGCCUCUGACUUGUAUGGAUCCUGUGCUGAACCUUCUUGUGCAGCACUCUUUGUAGCAUCAAUAUCCUCCUUUAUGCUUCAUCUUCACGGCUAUGUCCAAUCUACUGAUGAUCAGCUCCAUGGGAAUCUUACUCUGCUUGAUAACCACACUUUUUGCAACUGACAUGUUCAACGUCAAGAGUGUGAAGGACAAUAGGACAUUGAGCCCUCCUUGGAGCGCCAACUUAUUUGAGUAUCGGCUGCUCUCAUGACAGUUAGACAUUGCCGUGGGUACUUUGUUCACUUUUUCUCUCUGUUCAAUUUUAUGGACAUUAUGAUUGUGAAGAUCCGGCACCUAUGUUACUUUUAACUCUGGUUGGAGGAAGGUGUCGGAUCCUCCGAUCCUUCGACAUGACUUGACACCCAAAUAUAUAGUGCCCUUGUAUGAAACCUAGUACAUCUAGACUUCUAGAGUGUUAGAGGAAUGUCAGAUCCUCCGAUCCCUUGUCGGACACGACACCCACAUAAGAGGCUGAGCAACAUAGUCCGUCACCUUGAUGUUUGGUGUGGCAGUUGGCUAGUGUGCUGGGCUCGCCAUUUGUUGAGCGAUGAAGUACUGCAGGAGUAAUGCUUAUCGAUCAAUGAGUCAGUUUUCAUUUUGAAAUUGUGGUUUAUGCUGAAUUCGUUCAUGUUAAUUCUAGAUGGGAUUGCUUACCCGUACCCAGAUGAUCUACUUACGGGGUAGCAUGUGUAAGGCUGUAAGGUCUUGGCCUAGCCUCAUCAAAUCCCAGGUCAUGUGGCUGAGGUAUUCAGGACAAGAGAACAAACAAAUGCGAUUUUGGUUUGGUUUGGUUUGGUUUUGGGUUAUACUUAUAUUAGGCCAUCCGAAUACGCUAUUGCAGUAGCUAUUUAUGUAACCGUCAACGGCUGGUGUGUAUAGGAUUGCAAUGGUUAUUUGGUUAUGCUCAGCUCCGUUACUUUACUGGCCUUACUAUUGAUGUUUAUGGUCCCGUACACCCUUACUCCAUUGCUAAAUUGGUGCCAUGGGAUCGGGAACUGAUGCUCUUGAUUCUGCUGGCAUGGGUUGCUGUAUACACGCUUCAGAAGCAGGAGGUGCAUAAUGCAAAGAGAUACAUCAUUACAUUGAGUGUGGCUUUCAGCAGGCUGGUACUACGGAUCAUGUCAAAAUGCUGGGUCAGAAGGGUCAAUCUCACACAAGGCUGCAGUCAUUGGCAACACCAUUAUAAACAACCACCUUCGGUCCUGCACUAAACAUCCUCGUCAAAUUCAUGGCAGUUUAUUCGUUCUUGCUCCGGUGGAAGUCCGCAACUUGUCAGCAUGUAUAUCGAGAAGUUAAUCAAGUUGCCUAUUUCAUUACAAUUGUGAGCCAUCAUAUUUUGAUCAAUAUUGGGCCUUGUAUAAUCUUGUACAACUAUGAAAUAAACUAGGAUUAAACCCGGGCUGUUUUUUUUGGUUCUACUACGAGGAGUUCCCACCGCUUUCGGCGAGUGGACUAAUCUCCCGCGGGAGUUUGUGUGGGUACUUCGAUAGGCAGCAUCCCUCUCAGUUGAGGUUUUUUCUAUUCCCAUGGCUCGAACUCGAGGCAUUUGUUAAGGAACAAGAGACCCUUGGUCUUAAACCCGGGGUUGUUGAUCAUCACAUAAGUGUAAUUUGUCCUCUACUCAUUUAACAGUAGCAACCAAGUUGGGAGUAGUAGGUAACUUGUACCCGUAAUUAAAAAAAACAGAUAAAAACGGAAGUGCAGAUCAUUCGCUUCUUCAGCUGGUUUUUUUUACUGAUACCAUGUCACAUGUCA